AUAAUGGAAUGAGCGGCGGAGGGUGAGUAACACGUAGGCACCUGCCUGUAAGACUGGGAUAACUCGUGGAAACGCGAGCUAAUACCGGAUAACACUUUUCAUCUCCUGAUGAGAAGUUGAAAGGCGGCUUUUGCUGUCACUUACAGAUGGGCCUGCGGCGCAUAGCUAGUUGGUAAGGUAAUGGCUUACCAAGGCGACGAUGCGUAGCCGACCUGAGAGGGUGAUCGGCCACACUGGGACUGAGACACGGCCCAGACUCCUACGGGAGGCAGCAGUAGGGAAUCUUCCGCAAUGGACGAAAGUCUGACGGAGCAACGCCUCGUGAGUGAUGAAGGUUUUCGGAUCGUAAAACUCUGUUGUUAGGGAAGAACAAGUGCCAUAGUAACUGAUGGCACCUUGACGGUACCUAACCAGAAAGCCACGGCUAACUACGUGCCAGCAGCCGCGGUAAUACGUAGGUGGCAAGCGUUGUCCGGAAUUAUUGGGCGUAAAGCGCUCGCACGCGGUUCUUUAAGUCUGAUGUGAAAUCUUACGGCUCAACCGUAAACGUGCAUUGGAAACUGGGGAACUUGAGUGCAGAAGAGGAGAGUGGAAUUCCCACGUGUAGCGGUGAAAUGCGUAGAGAUGUGGAGGAACACCAGUGGCGAAGGCGACUCUCUGGUCUGUAACUGACGCUGAGGAGCGAAAGCGUGGGGAGCGAACAGGAUUAGAUACCCUGGUAGUCCACGCCGUAAACGACGAGUGCUAGGUGUUAGGGGGUUUCCGCCCCUUAGUGCUGAAGUUAACGCAUUAAGCACUCCGCCUGGGGAGUACGGCCGCAAGGCUGAAACUCAAAAGAAUUGACGGGGGCCCGCACAAGCGGUGGAGCAUGUGGUUUAAUUCGAAGCAACGCGAAGAACCUUACCAGGUCUUGACAUCCUCUGAACACUCUAGAGAUAGAGUUUUCCCUUCGGGGACAGAGUGACAGGUGGUGCAUGGUUGUCGUCAGCUCGUGUCGUGAGAUGUUGGGUUAAGUCCCGCAACGAGCGCAACCCUUGAUCUUAGUUGCCAGCAUUCAGUUGGGCACUCUAAGGUGACUGCCGGUGACAAACCGGAGGAAGGUGGGGACGACGUCAAAUCAUCAUGCCCCUUAUGACCUGGGCUACACACGUGCUACAAUGGAUGGAACAAAGGGAAGCGAACCCGCGAGGUCAAGCAAAUCCCACAAAACCAUUCUCAGUUCGGAUUGUAGGCUGCAACUCGCCUACAUGAAGCCGGAAUCGCU
RNAcentral lists this ribosomal RNA (1264 nucleotides) under Oceanobacillus sp. enrichment culture clone TJTB45. RNAcentral describes it as "bacterial SSU rRNA". It matches the Rfam family "Bacterial small subunit ribosomal RNA", at positions 83 to 1336 of the family's 1533-position model. The record is from RNAcentral. Lineage: Bacteria; Bacillati; Bacillota; Bacilli; Caryophanales; Bacillaceae.